AGAGCGAACGCUGGCGGCAGGCCUAAUACAUGCAAGUCGAACGGAUCCUUCGGGAUUAGUGGCGGACGGGUGAGUAACACGUGGGAACGUGCCCUUUGGUUCGGAACAACUCAGGGAAACUUGAGCUAAUACCGGAUGUGCCCUUCGGGGGAAAGAUUUAUCGCCAUUGGAGCGGCCCGCGUCUGAUUAGCUAGUUGGUGGGGUAAAGGCCCACCAAGGCUACGAUCAGUAGCUGGUCUGAGAGGAUGAUCAGCCACACUGGGACUGAGACACGGCCCAGACUCCUACGGGAGGCAGCAGUAGGGAAUCUUGCGCAAUGGGCGAAAGCCUGACGCAGCCAUGCCGCGUGAAUGAUGAAGGUCUUAGGAUUGUAAAAUUCUUUCAGCGGGGACGAUAAUGACGGUACCCGCAGAAGAAGCCCCGGCUAACUUCGCGCCAGCAGCCGC
RNAcentral lists this ribosomal RNA (446 nucleotides) under uncultured bacterium. RNAcentral's name for it is "SSU rRNA". It matches the Rfam family "Bacterial small subunit ribosomal RNA", at positions 26 to 518 of the family's 1533-position model. The record is from RNAcentral.